UUGGUUAAGUUAGAAAGGGCGCACGGUGGAUGCCUUGGCACUAGGAGCCGAAGAAGGACGGGACUAACACCGAUAUGCUUUGGGGAGCUGUACGUAAGCGUUGAUCCAGAGAUUUCCGAAUGGGGGAACCCACUAUCUUUAGUCGGAUAGUAUCCUUACGUGAAUACAUAGCGUGAGGAAGGCAGACCCAGGGAACUGAAACAUCUAAGUACCUGGAGGAAGAGAAAGAAAAAUCGAUUUCCUGAGUAGCGGCGAGCGAAACGGAAAGAGCCCAAACCAAGAAGCUUGCUUCUUGGGGUUGUAGGACACUCUAUACGGAGUUACAAAAGAAAGUUAUAAAUGAAGCGGUCUGGAAAGGCCCGCCAAAGACGGUAACAGCCCGGUAGUUGAAAUGGCUUUCCCUCCAGAGUGGAUCCUGAGUACGGCGGAACACGUGAAAUUCCGUCGGAAUCCGGGAGGACCAUCUCCCAAGGCUAAAUACUCCCUAGUGACCGAUAGUGAACCAGUACCGUGAGGGAAAGGUGAAAAGCACCCCGGAAGGGGAGUGAAACAGUUCCUGAAACCGUGUGCCUACAAGUAGUUAGAGCCCGUUAAUGGGUGAUAGCGUGCCUUUUGUAGAAUGAACCGGCGAGUUACGAUUUGUUGCAAGGUUAAGCGGAAAAAGCGGAGCCGUAGCGAAAGCGAGUCUGAAUAGGGCGCAUAAGUAACAGGUCGUAGACCCGAAACCAGGUGAUCUACCCAUGUCCAGGAUGAAGGUAAGGUAAUACUUACUGGAGGUCCGAACCCACGCACGUUGAAAAGUGCGGGGAUGAGGUGUGGGUAGCGGAGAAAUUCCAAUCGAACUUGGAGAUAGCUGGUUCUCUCCGAAAUAGCUUUAGGGCUAGCCUCGAGGUAAAGAGUCAUGGAGGUAGAGCACUGUUUGGACUAGGGGCCCUUCUCGGGUUACCGAAUUCAGAUAAACUCCGAAUGCCAUGUACUUAUACUCGGGAGUCAGACUGCGAGUGAUAAGAUCCGUAGUCGAAAGGGAAACAGCCCAGACCACCAGUUAAGGUCCCCAAAUAUAUGUUAAGUGGAAAAGGAUGUGGGGUUGCUUAGACAACCAGGAUGUUGGCUUAGAAGCAGCCACCAUUGAAAGAGUGCGUAAUAGCUCACUGGUCGAGUGACCCCGCGCCGAAAAUGUACCGGGGCUAAACAUAUUACCGAAACUGUGGAUGAACCUCUUUAGAGGUUCGUGGUAGGAGAGCGUUCUAAGGGCGGUGAAGUCAGACCGGAAGGACUGGUGGAGCGCUUAGAAGUGAGAAUGCCGGUAUGAGUAGCGAAAGAAGGGUGAGAAUCCCUUCCACCGAAUAUCUAAGGUUUCCUGAGGAAGGCUCGUCCGCUCAGGGUUAGUCGGGACCUAAGCCGAGGCCGAUAGGCGUAGGCGAUGGACAACAGGUAGAGAUUCCUGUAC
Molecule: ribosomal RNA, 1450 nt
Filed under: Listeria monocytogenes
Lineage: Bacteria; Bacillati; Bacillota; Bacilli; Caryophanales; Listeriaceae
Description: partial 23S ribosomal RNA
Rfam family: Bacterial large subunit ribosomal RNA
Source: RNAcentral